GGGGUCUGGCUCUUGUUAUUAUACCCCUCGCGGUCAACGUGGACACGUCUCCACCUUAAUUUAAUCGAAAAUACACAAAAUUUUAUUCUUUGUUUGCAUAAAAAAAUAUGUAUACAGUUCUUUAUGUAUGUUGAAUGUUGAGUGAGAGUUGAUUCACGGCAAAAUGGCUUGUAGCAGUUGGUGUUCAGUGAAUUUCAUGGCAGUAUCCUCCAAUCCAAACAAGCCCUUAACUUCCUCUACUCUCCUCGCUUCAAAAUUAUCUUCAUCCUUUUCCCAAUUCCCCUUUUCCUCUAUAAAUUUUAAUUCAAAAUUAUCCCGAACCCAGUUACAUAAAUCAAAGAAUGCUCCAAAUUCAUUUGUUGUGUUGUCCGCGGGAUAAACGCAGAGCCUUUGAAGGUAGUGAUUUCGGGAGCUCUAGUUUCCGGUAAAGGAACCCAAUGCGAGAUCAUCACUAAGAAGUGUCUGGUUUUGCUACUUGCUAUUUCAUGAUGAAACAUAGAAGACAAGACAAUUGAAUUAUGUCAUUUUACAAUGUGCGGUAUGAUCUGGUGCACAUUGCGGCUGGAGAUCUUCUCAGGGCCGAAUUUGCUGCUGGGACGGAAAAUGGGAGGCUAGCAAAGGAAUACAUGGAGAAAGGGCAGUAGUCCCAGAUGAAAUAUUUGUCACGAUGGUUAAGGAACGUUUAUUACAACCAGAUUCUCAAGAAAAAGGCUGGCUUUUGGAUGGAUAUCCAAGGAGUUCUUCACAAGCGACUGCUCUUAAAGGAUUUGGCUUCAAGCCACACGUUUUCAUUCUUCUUGAAGUGAGACUACAGGUCCCUGAAGACAUCCUUGUUGAGAGAGUUGUUGGCCGCAGAUUAGAUCCUGUUACAGGGAAAAAAUAUCAUCUAUCCUCCCCGUGAAACUGAAGAAAUUGCUGCGGGGCUUACUCAGCGCUUUGAUGACACCGAAGAAAAGGCAUGAUUCAUUUUAAGUCUAUAUCUUGCAAAGUGACUUUGCUUAGUUGACUUAACAUCCUUUUUAAUUAGUCAGCCCAUGUCUCAGCCUUUUCUUGUGUGACUGUUUCUAAAAUGUGUAUAUUGUCAAGUGUUUGAGCAAGGUUCCUAUAAUGAAUUUUCAUUUUCAGGUAAAACUGCGUUUAGUCACUCAUAACAAAAAUGUGGAGGCAGUGCUUUCUAUGUACGAAGAUAUAACAGUUAGGGUAUGUAAUGAGUUCAUUUCUGCUAUAACACCUUUGCAGUUGACUGACGGAGCACUAGCAUGUCAAAUAGGUUAUUUACUUGUGACUCUAAAAAGUAAACUCCCUUAUCAGAUCGCCAUUUUAACUCUCUCUACACAAGCAAAAUGGCAUUGAAGGUGGUUUCUUCUCAUAUAAGAAUACCUGCGCAUACAACGCUGUCAAGUUUGAGGUUAUUUUUCCUACUUCGGCUCAACGAAGUGGAGUAAAUAUUCCAGGGAAGAUUUCUGAAAAUUGAUUUAAAUUUAUGAAUUGGUUAAGCACCAGCACCAAUUAUAGCUAGUUUUUUUUGCUGUUAUUUUGUCUGUGUUUUCUUAUACUAGCCUUUGUCACGUGCGUUGCACGAGUUUUGUAUUUUUAUUAGCGUUAAAAUUGUAAAUUUUCCAAAACUUGUUGAAAAUUCGAAGUUUUUGGUGAA
Long non-coding RNA from Olea europaea var. sylvestris, 1654 nucleotides. RefSeq lists it as uncharacterized. The record is from RefSeq and is a predicted model, not a curated record. NCBI's taxonomy places the organism in Eukaryota, Viridiplantae, Streptophyta, Magnoliopsida, Lamiales, Oleaceae. The transcript has 5 exons.